AUCGAAUGAACAAGAUUGAUUGCAAUGGACAAUUUAGAUCAACAUAGAAUGGGUAUAAAUACUUCGCAUCACACAGGAACCCGAACCAUAGCCGUCAGCUCAGCUGGAGAAAAAGAACUAGACACCCGAGAAGAAGGCUAACCGUCGACCGUCGCUGCACCAGAGCCACCGUCGACUGCCAAAAAAGGUAAAAAUUUCUCAUACUCGCUCGAA
Molecule: long non-coding RNA, 213 nt
Filed under: Carica papaya (papaya)
Lineage: Eukaryota; Viridiplantae; Streptophyta; Magnoliopsida; Brassicales; Caricaceae
Description: long non-coding RNA (CPAP_LNC002989)
Source: RNAcentral